This 1410-nucleotide ribosomal RNA is filed under the name Triticum aestivum (bread wheat). Its description in RNAcentral is "partial small subunit ribosomal RNA". The record is from RNAcentral. Lineage: Eukaryota; Viridiplantae; Streptophyta; Magnoliopsida; Poales; Poaceae.
AUGGCGGAUUCUACUCAACAGGAGAUCGGGGGGAAGGGAGAUGAGAUGGCGGCGAAGUUAGGGUUAGGGGAGACGGGGAUGAACAGAUCGGAAGUACCGGAGGGAUGGGGUGGGAGGGGGAGUAGUAUCAACACCAAGGAGGAUGAAGGGAAGAACCAAAGGCAGCAGCCGAGGGAGCACAACCCUGAAGGAGCGGAGGAGGAAUACGGCGACUAUCCCGGAGCUUGCGCUGACUUAGAGGAUCAAUUCGCUGGCAUGAGGCUGUAUGGGAAAGAGGAGGAGGAUCUUGAUUUCUCAGCGGAGGUGGAGGAUCUGGUAAAGGAUGUGCGCUGGCUCGCUCUGUUUCGGGUGCAUACGACGAAGCCGUUUAGCCAUGCGGCACUUCUAACACAGAUGCAUAAUGCGUGGUCUGCGGCGCAGGGGGUCACUUUCAAUGUCAAGGGGCCUAAUCUUUUUCUUGUUCAGUGCCACUAUUUAGGAGAUUGGAGGAAGAUUAUGGAUGGAGGUCCAUGGUUGUUUCGGAGGGCACCAGUUGUGAUUCAGGAGUACGAUGGUUUCUCUGACGUUAAUGCAUAUCGGCUCAACAAGGUUCCGGUGUGGGCUCGAAUCAAGGGGCUGCCGGACGGCCUCACAAGGAAGAGGGAGCUGGCUGAGAAAGUUGCUGCUAAGGUGGGCGAGCCCCCUUUCACGGUCAUUGUAAAUGAGGGAAGGAUAAACCCGGCGAGCACCUUGCGAGCUAGGGUGUUUGUGGAUGUAAAUGAGCCUCUGGUUCGGUUUGUUCCUAUAACUCUGAAGGAACACAAGAAGUAUUGUGUUUUCUAUGAAAAACUCCCGGACUUUUGCUUUGCCUGCGGGUGUAUGGGUCAUCUUGCGGAUGAGUGGGGAGAUGGGGUUCAUGACCCAGUUUCUUUUGGUUGGGGCGAAUGGUUGCUGUGGGAGCCAGAGAUGCCGGCGGCUCAACCGUAUGGCGGCAGAGGGCGAGGAGGGAGUUUUGGUAUGGGGGGAGGAGGUGAUUCUGGCAGAGGAGAUAGGGGUAGAGGAGGAAGAGGACAGUCAGGGGGUAGAGGAAGGGGAGCACCUUCAGGUGGCACUAUGGGUUCUCAGCAUAUGGAUUUGGAUGACCCUAGAGUAGUUCAAGUGGAGGAGGGAGAGAAGGGUGCUCGUAAGAGGUUGGUUGCGGCGGACGACUCUAUAAAUAUACGAGGGCAACAACUUACCAAUUUGGUGGGGAAGGUUUCGGGGACAGUGUUGCUCAUUGAAGGUGCAACAGCGUCGGGCUCCAACAUCAACACAGUUUCCACUCCUGAGAAGGUGCAUGUUGGCAAGAAGAGGAGACAGGAAGGAGAGGAAGGGGAAGAUGUGGUGCUUAUGGAAGAGGCGGCCUCCCUCGAGGAGGGCCGCCAAGCCUGA